This is an RNA transcript of Rosa chinensis, 1186 nucleotides long. RefSeq lists it as uncharacterized. Lineage: Eukaryota; Viridiplantae; Streptophyta; Magnoliopsida; Rosales; Rosaceae. The transcript is spliced from 3 exons. The record is from RefSeq and is a predicted model, not a curated record.
UAAAAAAAAAAAAAAAUCAGAUUUCUAGAUGCAGAUCGCAUCUUUACUUCUUCUUCUUCCAACGCACAACGGCAGGCACAAAAUUGAUUAUCCAAGCAUCUCUUGCUCUCUCCCAAGUCCCAAACCUUGAAACCCAGCAAUUUUUUUUAUUAAAUUGGUUUCAAUGGUUACUCAAUUAUUCAGUUCAUUCUCAUCCAUCACCCAAUCUUUCUCCUCUCCAUGUUUAUGUUAUUCUACGGUAAUCAUACAAAUUUUUCAGCUUUCCAUCGAUGUAGGCUGAGGUACAAAUCAAAAUAGGUGCAAUUGGAAGUUGGAGUUGCAAGUCAAUCUCGAUCAGAAAAGAAAGAGCAAGAAGGAAAAAAGCAAGUUCCAGAUUUCCAGGUGCAAUUAGACGUUGGAUUUGCAAGUCAAUCCCGAUCAGAAAAGAAAAAACAAGAAGAAAAAAAGCUGAUUCUAGAUUUGCAGGUUUUAUUAUUCUAUGCUAAAGUGUUUAUCAUUCAAAGUUUAGUGUUUUGGCUUGCCAACUUUCAGUUUGAAGCUUCAGCAAGAUAUCAUAUUUGGCUUGGGACUAUAAUGCUAUUCAUAGCGGACAGCCAUAAUUAAGUGUAUAUUUGAUAAUUUCUAUUUUUUUCCAAGUCAUUUUCUAUUUGUUUGUUCAACUUUUGAAUACGGUUUUUCUUUUUUGAUUCAGAAAUUCUUCAUAAGUUUUACCAAGACACGCGUUAUCAAGUCUCUUAUUUGUGUGAUUGUGUCGAAGUGCUACAUUAUGUGUGAUCUUUUGGAUUAGCUAGCUAGGAGUUUUCUGUGGCAAGAAAAAAUUUGUAUUAUUUUUAUAUGAGAUUUUGGUUUUAUGUCCGUUUUAUGUAAUAAAAUCGGCGUGGGGAUGAGCCGCCUAGCUUGACUGGGUUCCAAACCCGUAAAAAAAAAGAUUUAGAGUAUGACUUUUGUAAGAAUCACUACAUGUCUAUUUAGGCUAGUUGGGCACACACACAAAAUUUCGCCCUGGGCAUAAAAAAGCUCGGGACCGGCCCUAGUUGUAUGACAAUUGUCAAGAUAACACACGUGAGGAAAAUACAAUAGCGGAUAACACACGUGAGGACACUACUAGAAAUUUCCCCAUUAGCACCUCUUUCUUUGCCACUAAAAAUCUUCAGUGUCAAAAAUGAAUAGUUUCACACUGAUAUAA